GGGAUACAGCUCAGUUGGUAGAGUGCUUGCAUCACAUGCACAAGCACAAGGCCCUGGGUUCAAUCCCCAGCAUGACA
This 77-nucleotide transfer RNA is filed under the name Marmota monax (woodchuck). RNAcentral's name for it is "tRNA.Val". The record is from RNAcentral. Lineage: Eukaryota; Metazoa; Chordata; Mammalia; Rodentia; Sciuridae.